Molecule: non-coding RNA, 229 nt
Organism: Maylandia zebra (zebra mbuna)
Lineage: Eukaryota; Metazoa; Chordata; Actinopteri; Cichliformes; Cichlidae
Source: RefSeq, a predicted model, not a curated record
GCAGCAACUAGCAUCACUGGACUUACAUUGUAUGCAGAGUUUCAGCGGAUUACAAAUCAGAACCUGCCCAAUACAUUCUACGCUGAACUUGACCGCCAUCUUCCUCGACUGAUGACCUUAUUCAGACAGAAGGCAUCAAAAACUGGGAAGACAGCUGAUGCCCUGGCUGAAAUUCUAAGAAUUCACAAUGAACAGGAAAUCCAUGAUAUCCACACCAAGCGCACUACCG